RNAcentral lists this long non-coding RNA (429 nucleotides) under Mytilus galloprovincialis (Mediterranean mussel). The record is from RNAcentral. Lineage: Eukaryota; Metazoa; Mollusca; Bivalvia; Mytilida; Mytilidae.
GGGUAAUUUUGUUGUUAGAAUACACCAUUGAUUGGAUAUCAAAAGGUAAGAUAGGACUCUGUGGGUCAACCAUAAAUUUUUGUGUACUGUAUUCAAGACCCAUUGGUGAUCUUAAGCUGUUUUGAACUCUUUUUUUUUGGUUGGCUUGUUGUCUCAUUGACACAUUCUACAUUUCCAUUCUCAAUUUUAGUUGUGUAAGGUUAGUCCUUUUUUAUGUAGUUGGUUAAGAGGGGAUGCGUAUUACACUUUACCUUAGACGAUACAUUUAAAAACGUAAGCCAGAAUACUUAACAGUAGUUGGUUAAGAGGGGAUGCUUAUUAUACAUAACUAUAGACGGUACAUUUUUGAAAUAUAAACCAUUUUACAUAACAGUUUCUGAAACCAUGGAUUGACUUAUAAAUGUUUUACAAAUUUAUGUGCAAAAAUAU